RNAcentral lists this ribosomal RNA (460 nucleotides) under uncultured bacterium. RNAcentral describes it as "partial 16S ribosomal RNA". It matches the Rfam family "Bacterial small subunit ribosomal RNA", at positions 338 to 795 of the family's 1533-position model. The record is from RNAcentral.
CCUACGGGCGGCUGCAGUGAGGAAUAUUGGUCAAUGGACGAGAGUCUGAUCCAGCCAAGUCGCGUGAAGGAUGACUGCCCUAUGGGUUGUAAACUUCUUUUAUAUGGGAAUAAAAUGUUCCACGUGUGGGAUUUUGUAUGUACCAUAUGAAUAAAGAUCGGAUAACUCCGUGCCAGCAGCCGCGGUAAUACGGAGGAUCCGAGCGUUAUCCGGAUUUAUUGGGUUUAAAGGGAGCGUAGGUGGAUUGUUAAGUCGGUUGUGAAAGUUUGGGGCUCAACCGUAAAAUUGAAGUUGAAACUGGCAGUCUUGAGUACAGUAGAGGGGGGCGGAAUUCGUGGUGUAGCGGUGAAAUGCGUAGAGAUCACGAAGAACACCGAUUGCGAAGGCAGCUCACUGGACUGCAACUGACACUGAGGCUCGAAAGUGUGGGGAGCAAACAGGAUUAGAUACCCUAGUAGUC